Molecule: long non-coding RNA, 4596 nt
Organism: Neopelma chrysocephalum (saffron-crested tyrant-manakin)
Lineage: Eukaryota; Metazoa; Chordata; Aves; Passeriformes; Pipridae
Exons: 4
Source: RefSeq, a predicted model, not a curated record
UAGGGGAGUGUUUUGAAGGCUUGUAAGAAAAAAAAACCUGCUCUCAUUUCCUAGACAAGUCUUGCUAUGAAGUCUCAGGAAUCAGUUUGGCAAUAAGAAGAAAACUUUCAGCUGAAGGAUGUCUAGAUGAAAAAAGCAAGAUACACAAUCCCAUUUUAGAGCUGGGCACUCAGUUAUCCCAUGUGCAGUACCUAUCCUUCAACAUCUAUGUAUCUACAACUUUUUCACAGGUGAGAGUGGAAACUUCCCCAGUCUUUGAGGACUAGGAACUCAUCUAUAAUGCAGGUCAAGGAGAUGUGACAGGCACCAUCCAAGGUUAAAGAGUAUGACAGAAGUAACCAGGUGAGAACUUUCUUAUAAACUUAAAAGUAAUAUAUAUGUUAUAUUUUUCCCUAGAAGGAAGAUGUUUUCUUUAUUAAUCUGUUCAUCUCUGACACCGAUUUCAUUGCAUGCCAGAGGCUGUCUGAUUUAAAAGAUGCAGGUACACUUGGGGAAAUACAGACCAUGUAUAUUGGCUUUCAUUGUAGAAUCCAUUUUUUUCCAGCAAAUCAUCUCCUCUAGGAAACAGGAAGGAUGGAUAUUAUAGGGUUGUGCAUUUUUAUAGCAUCACAUGGUAAACAUGUAUCCUUGAUAACAGUAACAACCACUACCAUCUUGGUUUUCUCCUGUCAUGAAAUACAAGGGUUGAGUUUGCUUUUUUAUUUGGCUUAAGUCAACAGCAAACAAAACUGUUGAUCAUAGACAACAAAGAAGUUCUGGCUCCUUGAAGAGCAAGAUGACUAUCGGAUGGGUAAGCAAAAAGUGGAGGUUAGAGAAGCAACAAUUUCCCCACAAACACAGCAUAAAAUGGGAACAAUACAUGAAACUGAAUUGCAGAUAGUUUAACAGUGAUCAAAGUUAAAUGUUGUCUUUAUGUAACUACUUAAUAACUAGUGUAACUCUUUUCACAGAUAUUACUGAGCCAAAAAUCAGCAGGAUUCAGGAAAUGUAUAAAGCCUUUCUGAGGAUAUUGAGAGCAUUCAGUCACAUUACAUUAGAAUAAAUUAUUUCCUAACAGUAUGAGUACUCCUAUCCUACAGUACGAAACACCCUGAUUGCCUGCUCAUCCUGGCUAGGACAUUAUUUCCAGUGCAGGAGAUGACUCAAUAUUGGUUUUUAAAUCUUGCUGCGACAUGUCAGAGGCCAAUUAGAUGGACUGUUGGUCUGACCUGGCAUGGUUACUCUUACAUCCCUUCUGAAGAUGCUUAACUUUGUGUCUGUUUUAGCAUCAUCCUUCUCAUCACUUAGGCAUGUUUUUGAGCACAUAAAAAUAUAUUCUUUACUUCACAUACCUUGGCUGCCCCUAUCCCAUGCCUUCUUUGGCAUUGUAAACACAUCACCUCUCCCCAGCAUCCCUCCGUAUGUUUUCUCCUUAACCUUUGACACCUUUCAACCUUUAAAAACACCCCUAAAGAAUAAAGCACUAAUUCAUUUCCAUCUUUCUCUGCACCUUCAUACUACAGGCUCACCACUGUUGCAGGCUUGGCAGGGAUGGAAAGGACGGCAAUAAAUGCAUUCAGGAUAUCCUGCCAUCUAGAAAAAUGAGCAGCAUUUCAGAGGAAGGUUACUCUAAAUUCUGCUUAACAUAUCUGCAAAAUCUUUCCAAAGUAGGUAUCUGUCUGGUUUUCAAAUCCAGCCUUAAUUUGCCUCUUUUUCUUCUCUGGCUUUGAGACCCCAGGGUUGUCUCCCUCCUCACACACCUGGAAGAGAUUCCUCAGAAGUGAUGCUUUGCUUCAGGUUUCCUCUCCCAGGCAGCCCUUGGAGGCCAGGGUGCAGCUGGCCUCAGCUUGCACUACCCCACUGGUCCUGGCUCCCAUUUCAACUUCCCUGACAUUCCUGGCAAUGGAUCCAUUUUGGACACAGGCUUCUGGGCACCGUGCUCUGGGCAGUGCCUGCAAGGAUACAAACCACAGGUUUUGGUAAGCACAUGUGCUUGUGAAGGUCAAGGGACUGGCAGCGUCAGAAAUUGAAUUUCUGAAUACAUCCGCAGUCCAGGUAUAUUUCAGACAGAUGCUCUCAUUCCCAGACUGCCCUGCCAAUGACCUUAACCCUGAUUUGGAAGGACAACUCAAUCUACUAUAAAGAGGAAAGGUGAUUUAGUCUCCAGCCAUGCUGACAGAGUCUUGGACCUCUCUGAACACAGUUUGUCAUUUGUGCUGAAACAUCAAAUCAUUUGGCCAGAUGUAGCUCAUCACCAGUUGGAGUUGAUUUCAGAAGAGGUGUUAGAGUUUGCUAGUCCAAGAGACGAUCUGAUCCAGGCAUCAAAGGGAGCUACGAGAGAAGCGUGUACUCUCCCCCCUGCUUGCAAUUGUCUGCGGCACCGCCUGCUCACUUCUGACAGCCCCGUGCCACCCUCCCAGAGCAAGGGCUCCCACAUUCCCUUCUUCAACCCUUCCCUCCCCAGCCCAAUCUACCAUCCUGCUGGCAGCCAGCUAAAGAGUGCAGACUUGGUGCCUGCACAAAAGUGAGGGGGAAUUACUAAUAAACACAAGCCUGUGCACUGGGAAAAUUAAGAGCCAGCUUCGUGCUGUGUGUUCACUUGACUCAUCCACACCUAUGCACGGAGCAAGGAGGUAGCUAGCUCCUCAAACUUCUCCUUUGUGGCUUUUAAACUUUUUCACUCUUUUGUGGAGACACAUUCUAAGUUAUGUGUGCAGCAUCUGUUGCCUGGUUUUUCUGACCCAUGCCAGAAACUUUUUUAGUCUAAAACAACUGAAAUGGUUUAUUGGUGAGGCCCACAGUAUUCAAGAUACAAAAGGUUGAUCAAUACCCCAGAAGGAUGCAAAAAGAGUGUGAAAAUUUUUCUUACCCCUUCUUACGUCCUUAAAAAAAAUGUAUGCCUGAAAUAUUUACACCUUUUCUCCCCAAUUUCCAUCACUGGUUCUAAUCAGAGUUCAGUAUAUCUCUUGGAAAAAAAAGCCCUUGCAAGCAGUGAUAAAUAGAUAAUGUCAAUUACUGUGGUAUUCAUGCAGUAGAGCUUUGUUUUGUUAGACUGCGAUUCAGCCUCAUACAAAGGGUCCGCCUGACAUGUCGUGAACUUCAGAUCCUAAGGGGAAUUUCUCUGGGGUUUACAUUUUUCCUGAUGCUACACAGCGUGGCUUUUCUCUCUCUUGCAGGUUUUCUGUGAGUGGGUCAUGGGAUUCUCUGACACAUUUAUAAAACAUUUAUAAAAAACAUUAGCAACUUAAAGCUUUCUGUCUGAUAGUAUUUCUUCUCUUUCCAGUUUCUGGUCAGAUAAUCUUAAAGAGACUCUAACCGGCAGAGCAGGAAAACUUCGUUAGGAUAUUGCAAUCAAACUAGUAAAAUAGUUGUUUGGGUUUUCCAGCAUAUUUCCAGUACAGAUCUAUGCUGAUAUCAAAAACAGUAGUCCAGUUACAGACUUUACGAGGUCAAAUCUUUGCCUGGUCAGACUUUAUGUUGGUUGCUUACAAUGUUCUGUUCCAAUAAAGACUAUUCAAAUCCACGGACUCCAACUGUGUGAAUGGAUGAACCAAUCAAAAUUCCCAUUGUAAUAAUGCAUUAUAGGAUAUUAGAAUAGCAAAUAUAUAUAUCAGUGUUAGAAAAGAUGGGCUGUCAGUUUUGUUCUUCUCCUUUCACAUUUCUUCAUUUUCUUCCUUAUCAUCAUGCCAACAACAGCAGCUAACAAAACAUUUUAAAAAUGGAAAAAAACCCCACCAUUGCCCCAGCAAUCACCAUUUGGAACAUUUUCAUAAAUGUUCUUUUCAAGACAUGCCCUACUCAAUGAAAUAGAUGCCUGAAAUCAUGCAUACUUCAAUGUAUUUCCUUUUCACAUUCCUUCUGGACGUGUAUUUAUAUGCCAACUCGUCUUCAUAAAUUUCAUACUGGCCUUAUAAUAGCACAAAUUAAUGAUGCCACUAGAAAAGAACUCAGCUGCUUUCAAAGGAGCAAUAAUCAUGUCAGAGGUGCAGUUGGCAUGAAGAUGAUUGAGUUGCACCUCUUCUCUGAGAUAUUUUCAGGGAUGAAUCAUCCCUUACAUAACAUAUAGCAACGGACAAAUUUUCCAUGUUAUUCUGAUACCUCAUGCCAUCACAUUUAAUUGUGUAACAGUCAGUCACUAUCACAUAAAUUUGCUUCCUCAAUGAUUUGUUGUAAGACCAUGGUAGAUGUGUUUUCGGUAAGCUGAUUCGAGAUUUCAGGAGACACGUGUCUGACACUGCACUGGUUGCAGGAACUGCAGGAUAGUGAUACACCUUUCUGAAGACAAACUCUCUUUCUGACUUUUUGAUGUGAGCUAAUUGGAACUCCUCUCUUGAACAUUAACUCCUUCAUUGUGAACAAUUAAAUGGGAAAAUUAUAGACAAUAAAAAAUCACUUUACUGUAAAUAAAAGGUCUUUAUUAGACACUUUACCUUUUUCAUAUGCUCAUAGAUCAAAAAUUUGCUUUACUGCUUGUGACAUUUUCCAGGCUAUGCCUUGCAUCUCUUUUUAAGGGAAGUUUAGAACAAUUAUUCAUCUAAUAUUGUAAGCUAAGUAUGCUCACCAAAAGCCACAUGCUCUUUCUGUACCACAGGACAGCUACAGCACUGCUGAUGUGAC